Molecule: ribosomal RNA, 383 nt
Filed under: uncultured bacterium
Lineage: Bacteria
Description: bacterial SSU rRNA
Rfam family: Bacterial small subunit ribosomal RNA
Source: RNAcentral
GAUGAACGCUAGCUACAGGCUUAACACAUGCAAGUCGAGGGGCAGCGGGGUAGCAAUACCGCCGGCGACCGGCGCACGGUGAGUAACGCGUAUGCAACUUACCUAUCAGAGGGGGAGUAACCCGCGAAAGUACGGACUAAUACCGCAUGAAGCAGGGAUCCCGCAUGGGAAUAUUUGCUAAAGAUUCAUCGCUGAUAGAUAGGCAUGCGUUCCAUUAGGCAGUUGGCGGGGUAACGGCCCACCAAACCGACGAUGGAUAGGGGGUUCUGAGAGGAAGGUCCCCCCACAUUGGUACUGAGACACGGACCAAACUCCUACGGGAGGCAGCAGUGAGGAAUAUUGGUCAAUGGCCGAGAGGCUGAACCAGCCAAGUCGCGUGAGGG